UACGUAGGGGGCUAGCGUUGUCCGGAUUUAUUGGGCGUAAAGAGCGUGUAGGCGGCCAGAUAGGUCUGCUGUGAAAACUCGAGGCUCAACCUCGAGCUGUCGGCGGAAACCAUUUGGCUAGAGUCCGGAAGAGGAGAGUGGAAUUCCUGGUGUAGCGGUGAAAUGCGCAGAUAUCAGGAAGAACACCAAUGGCGAAAGCAGCUCUCUGGGACGGUACUGACGCUGAGGAGCGAAAGCGUGGGGAGCGAACAGG
This 253-nucleotide ribosomal RNA is filed under the name uncultured bacterium. RNAcentral describes it as "partial 16S ribosomal RNA". It matches the Rfam family "Bacterial small subunit ribosomal RNA", at positions 524 to 776 of the family's 1533-position model. The record is from RNAcentral.